AUACGAAGGGGGCUAGCGUUGGCUCGGAAUCACUGGGCGUAAAGGGUGCGUAGGCGGGUUUUUAAGUCAGGGGUGAAAUCCUGGAGCUCAACUCCAGAACCGCCUUUGAUACUGAAGAUCUUGAGUCCGGGAGAGGUGAGUGGAACUGCGAGUGUAGAGGUGAAAUUCGUAGAUAUUCGCAAGAACACCAGUGGCGAAGGCGGCUCACUGGCCCGGUACUGACGCUGAGGCACGAAAGCGUGGGGAGC
Molecule: ribosomal RNA, 248 nt
Filed under: uncultured bacterium
Lineage: Bacteria
Description: partial 16S ribosomal RNA
Rfam family: Bacterial small subunit ribosomal RNA
Source: RNAcentral